This 1178-nucleotide long non-coding RNA is filed under the name Mus musculus (house mouse). RNAcentral describes it as "long non-coding RNA chr7:90871602-90872780". Lineage: Eukaryota; Metazoa; Chordata; Mammalia; Rodentia; Muridae. The record is from RNAcentral.
GGACUUUUGGUAUAGCAUUGGAAAUGUAAAUGAGCUAAAUACCUAAUAAAAAAUGGAAAAAAAAUAUAUAAAAAAAAAAAAAAAAAAAAAAAAACCUAGCAGGAACAGCCAGACCUCAGCUGAAUCAGCAGAAGGAACUAGGGCCAACAGCUAAAGUACUUAGCUGUGCCUCUCACAGCAAUGCAAAGAUCAAUGAAGACAUGAGCCCAAGAAGUGUUUAGCUAUGCAAGCAAGACAAGCUAAGACAAGCUUCAGUCACUGUCUGUUGAGCCCUAUUUAUACUCCCUCCAAAUAUCACAUGCCCUCUACAGGUCUUGCCUCAGCAGGUAAGUCUUAGCAAAAUUCCAUGUGAGUCUAUCUCAGCUGACAUCACUCUACCAAUUGACCCAAGUCUACAGAAAUGGCAAGAAACUGCCAGUAUACAACCAGAAGUUUUUUGGUUCAUUUCUCUCUAUGGAAUUCUGACAAGUGAAGGUCAAAUAUGCAAUUGAAGGUGGACCAAUACAUGUGUGUUGUUAGUAAAGAAUACUCAUCAUGUGUCUCUCCUUUCACGUGCUAGUGUUAGCAGAACAUUCUUUCACCUGUGUCUGCUUCAGUAAACUGUUCCUUCAUCAGUCUUCCUUAGCAUUUCAUCUGUGUUCACUCCAGCAAAAUGUUCCUUCAUGUAUUCCCCAUCAAAACACCAUCCAACAGAACUGACUUUCCAAAGAACUCUGAAGAUUCUACUUCAAGGAUCAAUUUUGCAUAUUGAGCUUUGGAGAGGUUCCACGGGCUACUGAGAAGAAAAUAUAUUUUAUCACUAUUAGAUGGAAUAUAUAUAUAUAACAUCGUUUAGAUAUCUGAUAUAUCUAUUUGCUCUAGAAGGCCUAUCUCCCUAAAGUUACUUUGUAAAGUUUGUUUGGUGUAUUUAUCAGUAAUAAUAGUGUAUUGCAAUGCUGUAUUAUUUUGUUUAAUUUUAUUUGUUUGUUUAUAUCCAGUAGUAUUUGUUUUAUGAAAUUUGGUUCACCAACUCUCAAAAUGUUUUUAAACUCAGAGGUAUUAUGUAUUUGGAUAUGUUUUUUUACAUUAUUUAUUGGGCUAUUUCUGUAUUUUAUAAUCUUUGCAUUUAAAAUAAGUACCAUUGAUAACAUCUAAUAUACACAUAUAACAUCAAUGGACUACUAGCUCUGCUCUCAUUC